UACGUAGGGUGCGAGCGUUGUCCGGAAUUAUUGGGCGUAAAGAGCUCGUAGGCGGUCUGUCACGUCGGCUGUGAAAACCCGAGGCUCAACCUCGGGCCUGCAGUCGAUACAGGCAGACUAGAGUGCGGUAGGGGAGACUGGAAUUCCUGGUGUAGCGGUGAAAUGCGCAGAUAUCAGGAGGAACACCGGUGGCGAAGGCGGGUCUCUGGGCCGUAACUGACGCUGAGGAGCGAAAGCGUGGGGAGCGAACAGG
This 253-nucleotide ribosomal RNA is filed under the name uncultured bacterium. RNAcentral's name for it is "partial 16S ribosomal RNA". It matches the Rfam family "Bacterial small subunit ribosomal RNA", at positions 524 to 776 of the family's 1533-position model. The record is from RNAcentral.